Long non-coding RNA from Nerophis ophidion (straightnose pipefish), 3439 nucleotides. RefSeq lists it as uncharacterized. The record is from RefSeq and is a predicted model, not a curated record. Lineage: Eukaryota; Metazoa; Chordata; Actinopteri; Syngnathiformes; Syngnathidae. The transcript has 2 exons.
UAUACACACACUCAUAUGUAUGAAUAUACAUGUGAGUGUAUGUAUGUAUAUAUACAUAUAUAUUUAUAUAAAUACACACAUAUAUGUAUAUAUGUGUGUAAUUGUAUGUAUGCAUAAUACACACGCAUAUAUUUGUACUGUACACACUAUAAAUACACACAUAAUACAUACACACUGCAUUGUGUGUAUAUACAUUGUGUACAGUACAAAUACAGAUACAAUGUACAUAUAUACACAGAUGUAUAUAUACAUAUAUAUCUACAGUAUGUGUGUGCAUAUAUUGUGCACGCACGCACACACACACACAUCUAACCUCAUCCCAUUAAAAAGAGUGCCAGGAAACAGUAAAUGCUGGAGAAAAACAUUGCGUUUGAUUAGAAAGGAAAAAAACUAAAUGUCUGAGGUCUUUUUAAAUAAAAAGAGACAUUGUAAAAUAUAUUACUGAUAAAAAAAAAAAAAAAGCGGGGGAGAGGAAAAUAAAUUGGAAAAAGAAAGAACAUAUAAAUGCAAAAUGAUUCCGCAAGUUGAGCAGGCGUCAUAAAGAUGGACGACAUGACAGAUUUUGGCAUAGAGGUUUGAAUAACUUACCCACUUUUUCUACAUUUGGUUACAUUCACUAUUUUGGCCUCCGGAGGUCCUAAAAGGUCCACAGAAGAAUCACAGCAUGGCUCAUUAGAGAAGAUAUCCCUUUUCAAAAGAUUGGGAGGAUUCAAGUAAGUGGAGGAAGAGGAGGAGAAGAAGAAGUAGAUGCUACUGGCACAUUUAAGAUUAGUCUUUCAUCAAAUCCACUUAGUCUUUUUACUGUCACUUCCUCCUCGCUGCAUCCACAGGGUCUCGCUGCUGUUUUAUCAACUUCUCAAUCUCUGCGCCCAACGUCUGAAGGUUCUCCUGGAAAUGAAAAGUCAUCAGUAUUUUUCCCAUCCAUUUAUUUUCUAUGGCUUGUCCUCAUCUAGGUUGCGGGGGGUGUUUUGCCCAAUAUAUGUUUUAUAUCUUUGGAAGAAAUGUUGACAUUUUCAGUGCCUUAAAAAGUUAAAGUGGCGAGGCCAGUGAUGGUGAUGCUGGAAGGGACUUUUGUCUCUUGUCCAUGCUCCUCUGUCCUAUUUCCUCUCGAGCUACCCUUUGUCUCUCUAUCCUAACCCAACUGGUAGAGAGACGGCCAUCCCACAGAGAUUAGGUACUGUAUAAGGUUUCUUUCCUAAGGAGAGUUUUUCUUUGCCAAGUGCUUGCACAUCUUUGGAUCAGUUCAAUGUAUAAGGAGUGUGGUUUAUGUGUAAAGUGUCCUCAGAUAACUUCUGUUGUGAUUUAGAGCUAAAUAAAAAUAUUACAAUUUAAUUUUCAAAAUUAAAAAAAUAUAUUUAGGAUAAACAAGCUUUAAAUAAUUGAUCAUUUUCAUUUUUUAACUGAGCGUUGAUUGUGCAAAUAUGUAUGGAUGCAAUCAUACAUAUAGUAUAUAAGCGUACAUUGUGCAGAGGGGAAGAAUUUCUACAAAAACAUUGCUUUUUUUCCGUCUAUAAAGAACAAUGUCAGCAGCAUUUGUUUGUUAUAUGAAGACAUUUAUAACGUAGUAUAGCUUUUUAACAGGAUGUUUCUUUUUAAAGCGUUUCCAAUCACCAUUUACAUAUUUUUUUUAUGUAUAAGAUACAUGUUAUAAAAAAUAAUUCAUUAUUAAUUUAUAAAUUCAUUAUUUAUUAUAUUAGUUUAUUCAUUAUUUGUUGAGAAAAAAUAUUUAUUUUCUUUUAAAAUACCUUAAAAAUAAAUUCUCGGUAUUUUGUAUCACAAAAAUCAUUACAAACAAUUAACUUUAAAACAUUUUUUUAUUUUUAUCAAUUCAUAUUUUUCAAAGUACUUUAAGCUUCUUCAGUCACCACUCUUACUACUUCAGGGAUGACUAAAUGUUUAAAAAUAUAAUUUGUAUUAUUUAACUAUUAUAAGCUCAUAAAUCAGUAUUUGUAAAAUUUUUUGGUAGAUAUUUGUAAAAAUGUUUUCCAAAAAUGUUAAAUAUGAUUUUAUCCUUAUAUUUUGUAUAAAUAAAUAACAUAAUAUAUAACACGAUAUUUACAAUAAAAAAGAAAUAUGCACACACAUUAAAAUAAUUAAUAACAUAAAAAAAAAAUCAUUGCAGAUAUUCUAAAAAUAUGCUAUAUUUAUAAUAUAUGUAACAAAUAUAUUAUAAAAGGCAUAAACAGUCCUAGUUCAUGUUCGGUGUAAUAAAUGUACUUUCAUCAAUAUUUUGUAUGCAUUUGUUUAGUAUAGUUCCAUGAUGAAAUCACAGCUGUGAGCAAAUGGACGCCAUACCUUGAGAGUGAUGUUCUUCAGCAGCGUGUCUUCCAGCACUGCCUGCAGCUUCCUGUUGAUCUCUAGCGAGAGGUCCAGCGUCAGCCCGCUGUCAGCCGGGUGGGAUGUGUACAGCGACGCCAUGAUGCCGCCACGCCGGCUCAGGUGGGCUUUGUUGAUGUCCGACGCCUCCGACGAAAGUGCCCCAGACUCCUCCCUGAGCACGUAGCUCUGGAUGAUUCUAUGAAGAAGGAGGAAUGUCUAGCUGAGAACGUGGAUUCUCAAAGUGUACACAGGAACAGCAGUCAGUUGACAACUUCCAGUAUAUCCGUGAAUACAACGUUGGUGGGCGUCACUCACUUGGUCUUUUUCCGGAUCUCCUCCACCAGUUGCUUAAUGUGAUCCUCCAUGAACUCGAUCUUCUCCUGCUUGCGAGCCAGCGCCUUCUGCAGGCGGACGAUGCGCUCCACCAGCACGGCUUUAUCCACCUGAGGGAAGCUGUCCACGACCACCACCGAGGUGCCCGACUGGCUCUCUGGCGAGCGCUCCUCGACCCCUCCGCUACCUCCGUGACGUGCAUUCAGGGAGCCUGGUAGAGGGGAAACACGCAUCACAGCUUAGGUCACGGGACCUUAACCACCAUGGUUGACAUUGUAAUAUAUUUUUUAUUUUUUUUGACAAACCAGAGGAAGCACCUGAGGAACUCGAUCGGCUCCCCAUGCUGCCGCCGUCCCGCUCGCAGCCUCCGUUUUCAACCUGCUCUAGUCGCUUUCGGGCUGUGACAGAACAAAAUCAACAGUCAAAUAAAACACAUCAUAAGAUGAUAUUUUAGGUAUUUUCAGGUCAUAAUAUGAUAUUUUAGGUAUUUUCAGGGUGUAGAGAUUUAUACAUGCAAACCAACAGACUUUUGAGCUUUUCUUAUUGUCAUUCACAUGCUACAACUCAUUUAUUUCUUUGUUUGUGCAUUCCUUUGCUUGAAAUGUGCAUAAAUGUUCUCCUUGUAUGCUUAUCAGUUUUUGCAUAUAAUGAAGUAAUGAGUUGAUCUACGUGGACAACGACUUAAACAAGUUGAAAAACUUAUUCAGGUGUUACCAUUUAGUGGUCAAUUGUAUGAAAUAUAUACUGUACUGUGUAAUCUACUAAUAAAAGUUUCAAUCAAUCAAAA